RNAcentral lists this ribosomal RNA (460 nucleotides) under uncultured bacterium. RNAcentral's name for it is "partial 16S ribosomal RNA". It matches the Rfam family "Bacterial small subunit ribosomal RNA", at positions 338 to 795 of the family's 1533-position model. The record is from RNAcentral.
CCUACGGGAGGCAGCAGUGAGGAAUAUUGGUCAAUGGCCGGAAGGCUGAACCAGCCAUGCCGCGUGAAGGUCAGUGCCCUAUGGGCGUUAAACUUCUUUUGUGCGGGAGCAAUAAUGGUCACGUGUGGCCAGACGAGAGUACCGUACGAAUAAGCAUCGGCUAACUCCGUGCCAGCAGCCGCGGUAAUACGGGGGAUGCAAGCGUUAUCCGGAUUUAUUGGGUUUAAAGGGUGCGUAGGCUGUGAGGUAAGUCAGCGGUGAAAUGCCCCCGCUCAACGGGGUGAAGUGCCAUUGAUACUGCCUGGCUGGAAUGCGGAUGCCGUGGGAGGAAUGUGUGGUGUAGCGGUGAAAUGCAUAGAUAUCAUACAGAACACCGAUUGCGAAGGCAUCUCACGAAUCCGCGAUUGACGCUGAUGCACGAAAGCGUGGGUAUCAAACAGGAUUAGAUACCCGUGUAGUC